RNAcentral lists this unclassified non-coding RNA (808 nucleotides) under Hevea brasiliensis (rubber tree). Lineage: Eukaryota; Viridiplantae; Streptophyta; Magnoliopsida; Malpighiales; Euphorbiaceae. The record is from RNAcentral.
GCCAAGUACCUUCUCGAACGUGGGGUUGAUAGAAGAGAUUUCAACUCUUAUGGCAGUCGCCGUGGUAAUGACGAGAUUAUGGCGCGUGGCACUUUCGCCAACAUCCGCAUAGUUAAUAAACUAUUGAAAGGGGAAGUUGGACCCAAGACCAUUCACAUCCCCAGUGGGGAGAAACUUUCUGUAUUUGAUGCUGCAAUGAGGUACAAGAGUGAGGGGCACGGUACAAUCAUUCUGGCCGGUGCCGAGUACGGAAGCGGAAGUUCACGUGAUUGGGCUGCCAAGGGGCCAAUGCUUCUGGGUGUCAAAGCAGUUAUUGCAAAGAGCUUUGAGAGAAUACACCGCAGCAACUUGGUUGGUAUGGGUAUUAUUCCUCUAUGUUUCAAGGCUGGGGAGGAUGCCGAUUCUCUUGGGUUGACCGGGCACGAGCGUUUCACCAUCGAUCUUCCGAGCAAUGUGGGUGAAAUCAGACCUGGUCAGGAUGUGGCUGUGGUGACAGACACUGGAAAGUCAUUCAGUUGCAUUCUAAGAUUCGACACGGAGGUGGAACUGGCAUACUUUGAUCAUGGUGGAAUUCUGCAGUAUGUCAUCAGGAAUUUGAUCCAUUCAAAGCAGCACUAAAUACUGGAAAAUACCGGAAGUGGGUUCAGGUUGAAUCGCUGAAUUUCUGAAUAAAAUGGGGAAGAAGUUAAGAAAGUUGUGCUUUUUAAGAGAAUUGUUUGGGACUAUCAUGUUCUCUGUUUCAAUAAUUCUCCAUGUAUGACAUAAUUUGAUCAAUUUUGUUGAUGGGAGAAGUAAAAUUUGUUGCCAG